UUCAUCGGCGUAUGUAUUGUUUUCCAAACGCAUAGUCUUGAGACAAGGCAAGGAGACAGACUCCAAAGACGUGCUCCCCACAAACACCCUACAAACUAUGGUGAUUGAGUACAUGCUCACAGGUCAGAGAUAUACGCGGUCUAUCAUUGGAAGGUGAAUCACAGUUUUUUUUCUUCUCAUACUCCUUGAUUCUUAUAUGCACAAAACUAAAACUCUUGUAAGAUUGAUGAUAUCAGUGUCAGCGUUAUCAUGUUUGGCGCAUUUUUUGCUGGAGCUAGGGACUUGUCAUUUGAUUUUUUAUGGAUAUGCUGUUGUUUUCGUAGCCAAUAUAACAACAGCAGUAUAUCUAGCAACCAUCACCCGGACUGGUACAAGUUGUUAUAGUCCUUCCUACCGGUUUGAAUCCUAUCUUAGUCAAUGUCUAAUGUCUAAUUCUCCAGGGAAGUCAAGUGGUUUGAAUAGCUUUGGCCUCAUGUGGUGCAAUGGUAAUCUAAGUAGAUAGUAAGAUUGGCCUAAACUCCCAAGACUUGCUUUCAAUUUGUUAGUUUUGCAAUGAUAGGAGUUAGUUAUAUGCGAACCUAUAUUGAUGGUUAGGACAUAUAUGUGUGGUGACUGGGAGAAGACGAUUAACUUUCCUCAGCUCUUUUCUCCUGGCUUCAUGGUACUGUAAAUCUCUCUUCUGACUUAUACUGCUUAUCUGUUUUCAUGUUCACCUAGGUUGUGUUACUCUGCUUGCGUGUUAGCUUUCUUUUUCAACUACAUCAUUUUUCUUAACACCACUCUCAACUCGGCUCUCACACAGACAAUUUGUGGCAAUAUGAAGGUCGGUUUCACUGUAUAAUUUUUGUUUUAAGUUCUUUUAUGUCUAUGAUUUUGUAAACGAAAGCAGAAACUUUGAACAUUAUAUAUCAUCAUUGCAGGACCUAUUCACGGUUGGAUUAGGCUGGAUGAUCUUUGGUGGACUCCCAUUCGACCUGGUAUUAUUCUUCACCUUCCCAUUUACUCUAUUGAUCCCAAAAUCGCCUAUCUACAAUUUGCUACAUCUCAGUACUGUAAUUUUGGUUCGUUGACGCAGAUGAAUGUGAUUGGACAGCUUCUUGGCUUCUUCGGAUCUGGUUUAUAUGCAUAUUACAAGAUCAUUGGGAGGUAGCUAGAGAAGGGUGACUGACUAUAAGCCGAGGCCCCAUUUUUUGACACAUUACUGGAUUAUAAAGGAACUGAUGUUUUGAGAUUGUUUUGCUCUUUAUCAUUUUCUUAUGUUCUUUCCGUUUGAAUAUAAACUAUAGAGUGACUCGGUCUUUUCUGGGAUCUAAUAUAAAUGCGUUCACAAAUCUUACUUUUCUUUGUUAACCAUGGUAUCAACUUAUUAAGCUUUCCUUGGUUUUCAUGGCGAUGUUACAAGUGAAAGGAUAGUAUGAAUAUCUUGUUAUAGCUCUAAACAAACGGUAGGCGAGACAAGUAGGAAGAGUUUAGCUGCGAGCAUGUUGUACUCAGUUUAACAUGAAAAGUGGAUGAAAGAAGACAAAUAAGAAAAAAAUUCAGAAGACACACCCAGUGGGACUCGAACCCACAAUCGCUUGAUUAGAAGUCAAGCGCCUUAUCCAUUAGGCCAUGGGUGCUUGUUGAUCUUCAUUCCCAUUAAAUCUUGUGAUUAGGUAAGUGUUUCUAUAUUGCUCUCUGAAAAAGCAAAACAUAUCUAACCGGGAAAAAGUAAAGUAAGCUGGAAAGAAGCAGAGAGAGAUCCCUGAAGUAAACCCUGUUUCCCUUCAAAGUAUCUCCACUAUCUCUCAUCCUCUUCCACUCUGACACUCAACUUCCACACUUUUAUCUUUCUUUAGUCUGGUAUAAGAAAAGAAAAGAAAAGGAAACCAUUUGUUCUUGUUCUUGAUUUUGCGAUGGAAGUUCCACGCCGCUCUUUGGCUGCUUCUCUCUCUCCUCUCCGCCUCAUCGAUGGUCUCCCUCGCCGGAGGAGUUUUAAUUAUAACCAGAUGCCUGAGGAGCCCAUCAAACUCACUGUUCUCAAGCUUGAUGGAUCUUCCUUUGGUACACAACCAUCAUCUUCUUGCUUUCUUGUUUCUUACCAUCAAUCUUCAAGACUUGUUUCUUGAGUUAGCGGUUUACGAUUUUGUAGGUAUUGAAGUAUUGAAGACAGCUACAGUAGGUGAGCUCAAGAUGGCUGUAGAAGCUGCGUUUUCUCACUUGCCCAUCACUGGCGUUGGCAAGGUCUCAUGGUAUGAGGACUCCUCUCCUCUUGUGUCUUUAUCUUAUAUGUAAUUCUUGAUGAUCUUAAUCUUACCCUGUGAUUAUCAUUUCGAUGAAAGGCCGCAUGUUUGGGCACAGUUCUGCUUAUCCUAUGGAGAUCAAAGACUGCUCAACGAGGCUGACUACCUCAUUGAGUUUGGCAUUAAAGACGGAGAUCAGGUUUGUUGUACUCGCCUCCCUCUUUUCUUCACUCAUGUAACAACUCUUCUAAAUGAAACUACAAAGUUUGAUUCAAAUGCAUCUUUUAAUUCUUUUGGACAAACAUCAUUCAGCUUAGGUUCAUCCGCCAUAUAUCAAACUACUGCACCAUGAUGGUGAACCAUAAGAGCAAGAAGACACCACAUGUUUCUUCUUUGAAACAACUCAAACUGUAAGAAGAGUCUUUUCUCUUUCCAUUUUCUCUUCAUGUUUUUAGCAUCUCAUCAGACAGAUACAUAUUUUAGACCAUCUAGGUUCUCUCUUAAACCCGAAACCUGGAAAAAGAAAGGAGCACAAGGACAAGAAGAUGGUGUUGACUCAGUCACCAAGACACAACCAAGCUUUCUAUCGACUGUAUUGGGAGGUUGGCUCUCUUACAAGUCAACACCAAGUCGGUCUAAACACAGAAACGUGACUGCUUCUACUUCGAGUCACCUCAGAGCUUUUAACAACAUCAUCGCAAGGUUUCGUUUCAAGUGUUACUCGGAGAAAGAUGUCUGGAACAGGAAAAAACUCAUCUCUGAAAACAUGAAAUAAUACUCAUUACUAUCUGUCUGCUUCUGAUUUGGUUCUUGUAGAGAUUUUGAUUUCCCAGUGUUCAUGUUUAUAUGUAAGAAACAAAUCAUAAGACAAGUCUGUGGUUUUAUAAAAGAUGAUGUUAUAUGCUUGAUACCAUCAAACAUCAUACAAGAGUCUUACUACGUUCAAAGAAAGUGAAACAAUGUUAUUAUGUACAUGUACCCAUACAUAGAUUAUAUAAGAGCAUUACCAGACCAAAGCAAUAUCCUUAAACACUGAACACAAGCCACUUUGAUUUGCCAGAGUCCUGACCAUCAACAAUCUGACAAUCACCACCUUGUCCACCAGAGCCAUCCCUCUGUUUCCCAUCCUUUGAUCUUCCUGCUUUCUUCCCAACUAACAACCCCAACUUCAUCGCUGUCAACAGACCCAUGGCAAUCAGCAAAGGUCUCACAGCCCAGUGAAAGUCCUCCAGAUGCUGAUACUUUUUCACAACUCCUUCACAUGUGUUGAAGUCCACAAUCUCCACUUCAGCUGGAUCCGCAAGACAGCUGCUUCCAUGUUCCUCUCCGAAAGGCAACGCUCCAGGGAACUCCACCUCGAGGCAACCGUUUGGUAAAACCUUAGAGAUCCUGCCCGUUGCCCAAAUCCCUCUACCUUUACGCAUCCACUUGAAUCUUGGGAUGACGACAUUGGCUUUGAUCUUCACGAACUGACCCACACUGUAUCCUUUAGCCAUCUGAAGCUGCGAUGAAGUUCCUUUCCAGAGAGUUGGCAGCCCUAUAAACCCAACAGCUACAUUACCCUCACGGUCUAUUGAAUGUAUAACACCAACAAGAGAGUGCCUCUUGUCUUCUCCAUCCUUCAGACGCACCCAAUCUCCAGCAGCUAAGCCGUUAGUUACCCGUUCAAGAACAGAGACAUGAACUCUUAACGGAUCAUGAACACCAUGGACUUUAACGAGAGCAAACUCAUCUGGAUCGGUGUCACGUUCUAGACCAACCACUGUUCCUUCUGGCACAUCCAUGUUCUCAUGCUUAAAAGAAUUGGCAGGCUUUCUUGAACGCACCGUGUCGCCCACUCGGAGUUGAUCCUUUGAAAGAAACCAUUCUGUGUAACCGAGAGCAGCCGAGCUCUUCCUGAUCUCUCUACUGUCAAUGCCUCUCCACACCUCUUCCUCCUCUGAGUCCUGCAAGCUGCACAAUCAUUUCCAGUUAAUAUCACAAACCAAGAUGGACGAAGACGGGCAAGAGACGGUUUACCUCUUCAAGACGUGUAAGAUGUCAGUCAUAGAUGGCCUGCUUCGAAGAUCAUACAUAAAGCAACCUCUAAGUAAGUUCUCAAGAGGAGGCGGUAUGCCACUGGGGAUGCUACUCUUUUCUUGCUUUCUGACCACUAAGUUGUAUAUCUCAUCGGCGGAUUUGCCACACCAAGGCUGCACACCGGUCAGCAUUUCCACAACGCUGCAACCAAACCCCCAAGAAUCAGUCUCAAAGGACAUGGGACCUCUUACUAUUAAUAUCACAAACCAAGAUGGACGAAGACGGGCAAGAGACGGUUUACCUCUUCAAGACGUGUAAGAUGUCUGUCAUCGAUGGUCUGCUUCGAAGAUCAUACAUAAAGCAACCUCUAAGUAGAUUCUCCAGAGGAGGCGGUACACCACUGGGGAUGCUAAUCUUUUCUUGCUUCCUGACCACUAAGUCGUAAAUCUCAUCGGCGGAUUUGCCAGACCAAGGCUGUACACCGGUCAGCAUCUCCACAACGCUGCAUCCAAACCCCCAAGAAUCAGUCUCAAAGGACAUGGGACCUCUUAAUUCCGGUUGCCACUGCUCUGGAGCCAUGUAGUUUGCAGUUCCAAGCCUCAUUGUCAUAUCAGAACUCGGCAGAGGGAUGCUAAGAAGGAGAUAAGGGACUCCAACGUCUCCGAGGAUGGCCUUGUCGUUAUCACUGAGAAGAAAGUUAGAGGGCUUGAGAUUAAGAAUCAGAAACCCUUUUGAGUGCAGCUCCAGGAUCCCUGUAACCAGAUCAACGCCGUACCUGUGGUUCAACAUAGAUAAAGAAGACAUUAGUAUCACUACUAGCUGCUUGCUUGUAUAAUGCAAUGUUACCUCAACACAUCAGGCAGUGAAAGCUUUCCUCCUUUAAGCCUAGCCAUCUUGUCACCAACACAGCCCUCAUAGAACUUCAUGAUAAUACAUAUCUACAAAACACAAAUUUUUAAACAAAAACGGAAACUAAGAGAAACCACCACAUGUUGUCUUUUUUAACUUACCCUUCCACUGAUACUAGAGACACCACGGAGCAUACAGACACUCUCAACCCCCUGACACUUGGAAAACAAAUCCUCAAACUUAUCAACCACAACCUUCCUCUGAUCCUCCUUGAUGGGAUGAAGCAUUUUGAUGGCGACUUCAUGAUGCUCAUCGUAGUCCUCGGUAGACUGAUGAUGAGUAGCCAACCAAACGUCACCAAAUGGACCUCUUCCAAUCCGGUGGCGAAGCUUCAAAGUUGCAGAGUUCAUCCAGGGGCUAGCACCGGUUGCUAAAGCGCUCUCGGAGCCACCUUCAAUGAUCUCGUACUCAGAAUCAUCAGGCUUCUGAGGAGCUAUCUUUGAAUCCAUAUCUGAAACCAGGAGAAAAAAAUAUAGUUUCACAAGUUACAACUCAAAGUUUGUUAAGUAAGAACUCAAAUCUCACAAACCUAUGUUUGGUAAUAAAAAGGAACAACCUUUCAGUUAUUUAACUAUCGUUAUGAAGCAAAAAAUGUGAAACAGAUUCGUCACAAGUCAGAUACGUGUGUGAGUUCUAUUUUGAAGAGAAGUAAGCGAUACAAACAAGGGACAAAGACAAGUGUCGUGGAGAUGUAGAAGUAGGAGAAGGAGAACAAGCAACAGUAUCCCAUCACAAUGGAACUCAAUUAGCGCAAGAUAUAGAACCAUAAGUCAAAUCUCAUUAGAUCAGAAUUUGCAAAACGAAUGUAAUUAAAAUGAAAGUUAACUCGAGUUACAAAGAAAAAAUCUCAAAAAAAAAAAAUCACGGAGAAGGAGAGUAACCGAGCAAUGAAGGAGAUAAACUUGCGUUAUGUCGACGGAUUAAGGCUUUUGAAGGUAGUGACGGCGAAGACAGAAGACAAAUGAUAGAAACCUAACACCGCCGGUAAUGAUAACUACAAGUUCCUGAUGAAAGAGAGAAAACAAACAAAUAACUUAGAGACGAUCAUCGGAAACUGAAACAAGUAACUUGAGAAGCUGAUAAAGACAGGGAACCGAGAGAGAGAGAGAGAGAGAGAACCUGUGAAGGAAGAAGGCGUGGAGGCCCCGUAAGUUUUUGUUUAAUGAGACACACCUUACCGUACUUAAUACCACAACCACAACAAAGCCCACUUUACUUCAUUUUAUGUCAACCAAAAAAAAACUCUUUUUAUUUUUAAUUUUGUUGUUAUUAAAAGCUUUUUUUUUUGGUUAAGAGGUUAUUGGUUGGUGUAUUUUGAUACAUUUGAAAAUCUAAACUAAAUUUUAGUGUUAUUGCUUCUAUGAUUUUAAAAUAUGUAUUGAAAUCAUGUGUUAUUGGUUUAAUGAUUCAUAAAUUUUAAUUCAAAUCAAGUGUUAUUCAAUCAUACGAAUUUAUUAAUAGAUUUAAUUUCAUAAUGGAUUUGAAUUGAUUUGCAUGAAUUUCUUUGUUAAAAAAUACAAAAACUCAAAUCCGAGGGAAAACCUCCGAAUUUGUAAAUAAUAAUCCGAAAAUUUUUGAAAUUUGUAUAUUUUACUUGGAUUUAUAAGUACUAUAUGGAUUUUUAAAUCAAUCCAAAUAUAUAAACCAAUAACAUCUAAAACAUAUUAAGAAAUUUUAUAUUAGUGCAAAGUACACCAUGUUUAGCUUAUCAUAGUACCGAUCACACAACAAAUACGAUUUCAUGAUUGUAUCCACGACAGUAAGACUGAGGACCAUAGCUUCAGGUGUUACGGUGGUGUGAGUGGAACAAGACUGUAAUGCUAUUCACACCAAGUAGUUUCCUCUCUUUUUCGUCUGUUGCUCAGGCGCUGUACAAACAAACAUCACAUCUCGUGACAACAAACGCCGACAACAGUGAAGGUUGAAGUUUGGGCUUCCUUGCUGGACCUGAGCCCAAGAGCCCAUUUUGCGGUUUUGUGAAUCUCCUUUAGUUCACAAAACAUCUUCAAUGUCUUCAAUGUCUCUCUGUUCUUCUUACUUCACUCGCAGACACAACCCUCAAUUGCUCUUUGUUUUCGUUUCAAGAAGAGACAUGUAAAUCUCGUGACAAUAAGAGUCUAUGAAGAUUCAUCCAAAAUCAAAUUUUCAAUCUUUAUCAAACUAAAUAAGAAAAGAGAGCUAAUCAUUUAUAAAAACUUACAUAUAAAAUUGUUGUUGAUUCAUCCAACGAUCAGACAAAGACAUAGAGAGAAAAGAAGAGAGAUUUACAGUAAUUUCAUAUAAAUUGAGGAUUGAGAAAAGACAGAACACACAAGAGUUUGUAUUAAGAAGGAAGAACCUUCUUGACAAUGUCUUCACUAAGAGCAGCGAUCUGAGAAUCAAGAGCCUUAAUGGUCUCCUCCUUCUGCUUCUCCAAGCUCGCCAAAGCUUCCUGCAGCUCCGCCUCCACCUUCUUCCUCCCUACCGCCAGCUGCUGCUCCACCUCCACCUGUCCCAACACAAACAACCAUCAAUGCCUUUCUCACAAUCAGACAUCACAAAUGUCAGUUAACGUUUCCCUUACCUCCGUCUCCUUCUUCAUCUUGUUAAGCGCGGCGGCGAUCUCAGCCCUAGCCGCCCUCAUCACAGCAGCCGCCUGUUCAUCGAGCGCCUUCACCUCAGUGGAAGUAUCCUUCACGCUCGCGAGCUUCUCCUUAAUCUCACCGUCUCUCUUAUCCAUAAAGUUCCCGAGGGGAGAGUAGUAGACUUUGUCGAGCGCGAACAUGAGGAAGAGAAACUCCACGACGAUGAUCGGGAGCGUCAGGUUGAAGUCGAAGAGCUGGGCCUUCUCCAUAGCUUCGGCCAUGGAAGGGGGAGCGAGGGCGGCGAUUAAAGCUAGAGACUUUACGGUGGCGGAGGAGAAAGACAGAGCCUUGCUGCUGAGGGAGGAGGAGGAGGAGGAGGAGAUGGGUUUGGGGAUCUGGGGGAGUUUGAUGGAUUUGGGGAGGUUGACGCGGGUUGGUUGAGUGGAGGAGGAGAGGGAGAUGAGGGGUUUGGAGGAAGCCAUUAUCGAGUUAGCCAUGGCGACACGAGCAGAGACAGAGAGAGAGGGAGAGAGCUUUCGCUUUGAGAGAUGAGAGAAUGCUCAAAAACUGAUCUCUCUGUGUAAUCUUCUUAGGAAUGUUAUCUCUUCUCUUCACCACACAAAUAAUCAAAGGCUGUGGUGGUGAGCUUACAAAUGUAAUGUAAGGACCCGAAAAAAAAUUAUAUAAAAACAAUAAACAAAUAUAAAAAGUUAUAUAUAAAAAAAAUUGCAUUUUUUAAUACUCUCCCGUUUUUACAAAAUCUUUAUUUUAGAAAAAGUAUAUUUUCUAUGCAUUAAUUAAUAAUAAAUUUUAAAAACAAUAGUUAUUUUAUUGUAAUUCAUUUGGUUAAAAUGUUAAAAUGGUUAAUUAAAAAAAAUAGAAAUUAAUGGUAUUAGCUUACUGUUAUUUUAUCACAAAUUUAAAGUAUUUGGAAAAAUAGUUAUUCAUUAAUGAUAAAUUUGAAAAGUAGUAUCAAAUUUGUGGUAUAAUUGAAAAUUUUCCUUAAUAUAUUUUAUACGUGUAAAAAUUGUAAAAUUAUAAUUCUUUUUAACAGACGGAGUUUAUAAUUACUUUUUGGUUAAAUCGCAAAUGUAAAUGUAAACAAAUGAUGUCAAACAAAUAAAUACCAGACUUGUCUUACCAUUAACCAUAAUGUCAUUGAAGAUCACAGAUGUUUUAUCCUUACAAGGUGACCUAAGAGGAUACAAGUCUCUUGCUACAUGUCUAACCUUCUCAAAGACAGUCCUUGAAUGCAGAACAGAUCUUAGUUUUGAGACAACAUAUUUAUUCAACACCCGGUAACUCUACAUAUAUCCACAUAAAAAAUCACAUCACAGAUCAAGCUUAUAAAGUUAAUCUGUAUGAUCUAAUCUUCACAAUCCAUUAAUGCAUGUGGAUGUAGUACCAUCAACGAUUCCUGCAUUCUCUAGGAGCUUCUCUGUCAAUGACCAGAGCCUCCCAACUUCUGAUUUCACCUCAGCAAUACAAUCGGCUGAACUGUUUUCGUUCUCUGGCACUACAAAGAAAUCAGAAUCUACCUCCACACUCAUGUCAGCUUGACUUAGAAGCUCUGUGCUCAUCUCCGCAAGCUUCUGUAACGCGCUCGUUGCAGCUUCCACUUCAAGUUGAGCUGCUUCAAGCUGAAGCUUCUCUAUAGCUAGAUCACCCAUUGUUCUCCCCUCGAUCCUCUCUUGCGCCAAUGCAUAUAGCAUUUUCAAAUCUUCACCGUCAUUAACCGUUUCUUCUUUUAGUUUCUUGACUUCCCUCUCCUUGGCUUCUAGUCUCCCCAUGAGUACAUUGAUCUCUUCGUCCUUCAACGUCAGAGCCCUCUGCGCAGCUAAAACUUCCAUCUCUUUCAACCGUAGAUUCUCUCUGGUGAAGUUUAGCUCCAUCACUAGCCGUUUGUUCUCCAUCCCGUAAUCACCAUAAGGUUGUUUCUCUAGUGGUUGUUGCUGCAUCUGAUCUUGAACCAAUCUGCUCGUCAGCUCUGCGAUUCUCUCCACCACCAUCUCAGCUUCACUGGCUUGAAUCUUGGAGCUGCCUAACUCGUCUUCGAUUCUGUUAAGGUGGACAUCUUUCUCCUUCAGUAAUUCAGUUGCCUGCGUAAGCUGAUCUUCUCUAGUUCUCAUAAGCAUCUUCAGCUCUGUAACCUCCCGGUUCACCACUUCCAAUUGAUUCCUCGCUUCCGUGAGCUCUUCAUCUUUCUCUUGCAGUAACAGCUCUAGAGAAGCCUGUUCAGACUUUAAAUGCUGAAUCUCUAGCUUAGCCUCCACCAAGCUUGACUCCUUCUCCUGAAGUAGAGUCUGUGAGACUUGAAACUCGUUUGUUUUCUUGUCAAGCUCGUCUUGUAUGGUGGAGACAUCAUGCAUAGCUUGCUCCAACAGAGACUUCUCUUUCUUCAACUCCUCUCGUAGCUCCUCCAGGAGUUCUUUUUGGAUUGAUAUCUCUCGCUCGAGUGCAAAGUUCUUAGCCUCCGCGACUCUGAGCUUUACUCUCUCACUCUCCACUUCACCGCGAGCGUCUCUCAAGCUUUGCAUAUACGACAACACGCUUCUCCUCUGCUCCUCAAGUUCCUCUAACUGUUUCUCUAAUAGCACUUCCUUUUCUCCCAUCUGCUCUCUUGAAGAUAACAAAACUUCCCGAGAUGAAACAAGCUCGAAUCUCACAUCGGUCAGAAGCUUCCUCACUCUCCUAAAGUCCUCCAUGGUUUCAUUAGCUUCUCCUAACCGCUUUACUGUCUCCUCCUGAAGCUUACUCACUUCCUCCUGAGCCACCAACCACUCUUCCGUCUGCUUCUUCAAGCUGGCUUCUGUUUCUCUGAGCUUCUCCUGCUCAAGCUUCUUCGCCGCCGUAGAAACCUCUAGCUCUUCUUCCUUCUCCUUGAGUGCUCUCUGAAGCGCUUCUAUCUCAUCUUCUUGUCUCUCCACAAUCUCAUUAGCUUGGAUCAAGAGCUGUGACUUGUUCUCAAACUCAAAACUCGCCACGGAAACCUCCUUGGUUUUGAUCGAAAUCUCAACGCGCAUUCGAUCCAGCUCACGUUCUUUAAAAGUCAAUGACGCUUGCAUAGCAACAAGCUCCUCGUCUCUUUCCNNNNNNNNNNNNNNNNNNNNNNNNNNNNNNNNNNNNNNNNNNNNNNNNNNNNNNNNNNNNNNNNNNNNNNNNNNNNNNNNNNNNNNNNNNNNNNNNNNNNNNNNNNNNNNNNNNNNNNNNNNNNNNNNNNNNNNNNNNNNNNNNNNNNNNNNNNNNNNNNNNNNNNNNNNNNNNNNNNNNNNNNNNNNNNNNNNNNNNNNNNNNNNNNNNNNNNNNNNNNNNNNNNNNNNNNNNNNNNNNNNNNNNNNNNNNNNNNNNNNNNNNNNNNNNNNNNNNNNNNNNNNNNNNNNNNNNNNNNNNNNNNNNNNNNNNNNNNNNNNNNNNNNNNNNNNNNNNNNNNNNNNNNNNNNNNNNNNNNNNNNNNNNNNNNNNNNNNNNNNNNNNNNNNNNNNNNNNNNNNNNNNNNNNNNNNNNNNNNNNNNNNNNNNNNNNNNNNNNNNNNNNNNNNNNNNNNNNNNNNNNNNNNNNNNNNNNNNNNNNNNNNNNNNNNNNNNNNNNNNNNNNNNNNNNNNNNNNNNNNNNNNNNNNNNNNNNNNNNNNNNNNNNNNNNNNNNNNNNNNNNNNNNNNNNNNNNNNNNNNNNNNNNNNNNNNNNNNNNNNNNNNNNNNNNNNNNNNNNNNNNNNNNNNNNNNNNNNNNNNNNNNNNNNNNNNNNNNNNNNNNNNNAUGUCUAUCAAAAAUCCACCCGCAAAGAAUCAGCCUUUUGGCGGCAAAACAGUUAUGUUAGGUGGUGAUUUCAGACAGAUCCUACCAGUCAUUCCGCAAGGUGGAAGAGCUGAUACUGUAUUAGCUUCGAUAAGCCAUUCAUAUAUAUGGAAUAGCUGCCAGAAGUUCUCUUUGAAAACAAAUAUGCGAGUAAAUCAGGAUGAGAAAGAGUUUUCUGAAUGGCUUCUCAGAGUCGGGGAAGGUCGUCUAGAAGCAGAACAAGAAUAUGAGGAGGAUGGGUACCAUGACCAAUUCAUAGAUAUCGAUGAAUCAUUGAUUUGUCAGAGUUUUGUUGACCCAUUGAAAGAAGUUGUUGAUGCCGCAUAUGGACAAAUCAGCAGCCCGAUGAAUUCCAAGACUUCCUACACCGAUAAAGCUAUCCUCACACCCCGUAACGAAACCGUUGAUGAAAUCAAUGCUUACACCAUCUCACGGACCGACGGGGUAUCAAGAGAUUACUACAGCUCAGACAGCUUUGAGUUAUCAGAUACUACAUCAGAUCAAAAUGAUAGACUAUACUCCAUUGAGUAUCUUAACUCAUUGGAAUUCUCGGGUUUGCCUUCGCACAAACUUACUCUGAAAGUUGGUGCCCCAGUUAUGCUUCUCAGAAACAUAAAUCAGAAAAAGGGAUUAUGCAAUGGUACGCGGAUGAUCCUAACCCACGUUGGUGAACGCGUUCUGAAGGCCGAGAUCAUCACUGGAUCCCACAUUGGAGAAGAGGUCUUGAUCCUAAGAAUUGUGUUUUUGUAUGAUGAAACAAAAUUACCGUUCACAUUACGUCGGCGGCAAUUUUCUAUCAGAUUGUGCUACGCAAUGACAAUCAACAAAAGCCAAGGCCAGAGUUUAAAAGAGGUCAUCUUAUAUCUGCCUCAACCAGUCUUCUCUCAUGGUCAACUUUACGUGGUCCUCUCCCGUGUCACAAGCAAAGCAGGAUUAACGAUCAUCAAAACUGAAGAUCCCCACCAGCUGAAAGUGAAGAAUAUAGUCUACAAAGAAAUAUUCAAAGGCCUUCAUCCCGAGACAAGUAAUUUUAAAUAAAUUAUUUUUUUCCUCUCAUCUUUUUCAGAAAUCUGAUAAAAUAUUAUAUUCACAGAUUAACAAUCUCGAAAAUAUAUCGACCAAGCGAUGAUACAAGCCAAUAAAGAAGAGACUUACACAUAGGUUUACUCCACCUAAGCCAGGUACAAAACUUUUAAUAUAAAUAGCAAUACUACUAUAUUCAACUAAACUUAUGCUGACUAACUAUUCUUAUCCAAUUUCAGGUCUUUUCUUUCUCAUGACCCUCAAAAAAACUUCUGAUCUGCGAAAGACUUAAUCUGCUUCCUCCAUUAUCUACUUUACUUACAGUUUUUUUGGCUUUUAAACAUUUGCGUAAACUCGAUAUACACAAAUUUUCCACACAUAUUAUAACACACAAUCUUUCCAUCUCAAACAAAAAUAUUGAUUACCAACAAACUUUUUGUGUUCAAACAAACAAUACCUACAUCUAAUAUGAUAUUUUGGAUCAAAAUUUUAUUAGAAAAUAACCCGGGCGUAGCCCGGGAACUGACCUAGUCAUAAUAAUAGUUGCUCACAAGAAAAAGAAACAUUCUUAAGGUUACGAUAAUAAUAGUCGCUCAAAACAAAAAAAAGUUUACCAUAAUCUUAUACAAUAAAUAUGGCUUUUUUUUUUCCCCUAGAGGGAAAAAACACGUCUCGCACAAUGUUUUUAAUUUUCAAAGAUUCUUUGUCGUUACAAUCUCUUAAUAAAGCUGGCCUAUGUUACAUUUUUUUUUACAUUAUUGUAAAAGCCCAAGCCCAAAAUUGCUUAAAACAAAGUCGAAGUUUUAUAUCCACUAGCUCUUACCCUUGCAUCGCCUCACCUUCUUCAUCUUCCUCAAUCGCGUCGGCUUACCCAGCCGUUUCAACCUCGACUGGCAUUCCUCCAUAACGUCGGCUUAGCACGUUUUUCCGUCUUAAAACUAGCGCCGCUAUCAAUCGAUCACAUUUAACCAAUGAAAAAGGAAGUACAUCAACAGAGAAGGCAACGACAACCAUAGAUUUUUGAAUUAAAAAAGUGAAUAUAAUGAUAAAUGUUCUUUGUUAAAUAACACAAAUGGCAAACACUCCGAACUCUCGUGACGGUAACAGUCUAUGAAGAUUCAUCCACAACAGUUCAUCGAAAUUUUCAAUCAGAAUCAGACUCAAUAAGAAAAGAGAGCUAAUCAUUUAUAGAAACUUACAUAUAAAAUUUGUUCUUCUUGAUUCAACGAACAAUCCAAGAGAGACACAGAGAGAGAAGAUGAGAGAGAUUUACAGUAAUGUCUUAUAAAAUGAGAUUGAGAGAGAGAGAGAGAGAGAACACAGAAGAGUUUGUUUUUAAGAAGGAAGAACCUUCUUGACAAUGUCUUCACUAAGAGUAGCGAUCUGAGAAUCAAGAGCCUUAAUGGUCUCCUCCUUCUGCUUCUCCAAGCUCGCCAAAGCUUCCUGCAGCUCCGCCUCCACCUUCUUCCUCCCUACCGCCAGCUGCUGCUCCACCUCCACCUGUCCCAACACAAACAACCAUCAAUGCCUUUCUCACAAUCAGACAUCACAAAUGUCAGUUAACGUUUCCCUUACCUCCGUCUCCUUCUUCAUCUUGUUAAGCGCGGCGGCGAUCUCAGCCCUAGCCGCCCUCAUCACAGCAGCCGCCUGUUCAUCGAGCGCCUUCACCUCAGUGGAAGUAUCCUUCACGCUCGCGAGCUUCUCCUUAAUCUCACCGUCUCUCUUAUCCAUAAAGUUCCCGAGGGGAGAGUAGUAGACUUUGUCGAGCGCGAACAUGAGGAAGAGAAACUCCACGACGAUGAUCGGGAGCGUCAGGUUGAAGUCGAAGAGCUGGGCCUUCUCCAUAGCUUCGGCCAUGGAAGGGGGAGCGAGGGCGGCGAUUAAAGCUAGAGACUUUACGGUGGCGGAGGAGAAAGACAGAGCCUUGCUGCUGAGGGAGGAGGAGGAGGAGGAGGAGAUGGGUUUGGGGAUCUGGGGGAGUUUGAUGGAUUUGGGGAGGUUGACGCGGGUUGGUUGAGUGGAGGAGGAGAGGGAGAUGAGGGGUUUGGAGGAAGCCAUUAUCGAGUUAGCCAUGGCGACACGAGCAGAGACAGAGAGAGAGGGAGAGAGCUUUCGCUUUGAGAGAUGAGAGAAUGCUCAAAAACUGAUCUCUCUGUGUAAUCUUCUUAGGAAUGUUAUCUCUUCUCUUCACCACACAAAUAAUCAAAGGCUGUGGUGG
This 14749-nucleotide long non-coding RNA is filed under the name Brassica napus (rape). Its description in RNAcentral is "long non-coding RNA (BNAP_LNC000061)". The record is from RNAcentral. Lineage: Eukaryota; Viridiplantae; Streptophyta; Magnoliopsida; Brassicales; Brassicaceae.